RNAcentral lists this non-coding RNA (30 nucleotides) under Mus musculus (house mouse). Lineage: Eukaryota; Metazoa; Chordata; Mammalia; Rodentia; Muridae. The record is from RNAcentral.
UGAGCAUAGAGACAGUGCACUCUACAGCAA